This 700-nucleotide ribosomal RNA is filed under the name Streptomyces sp. I11A-02724. Its description in RNAcentral is "bacterial SSU rRNA". It matches the Rfam family "Bacterial small subunit ribosomal RNA", at positions 98 to 812 of the family's 1533-position model. The record is from RNAcentral. Lineage: Bacteria; Bacillati; Actinomycetota; Actinomycetes; Kitasatosporales; Streptomycetaceae.
GCGAACGGGUGAGUAACACGUGGGCAAUCUGCCCUGCACUCUGGGAUAAGCCCGGGAAACUGGGUCUAAUACCGGAUACGACACAUGAGCGCAUGCUCGUGUGUGGAAAGUUCCGGCGGUGCAGGAUGAGCCCGCGGCCUAUCAGUUUGUUGGUGGGGUAGUGGCCUACCAAGACGACGACGGGUAGCCGGCCUGAGAGGGUGACCGGCCACACUGGGACUGAGACACGGCCCAGACUCCUACGGGAGGCAGCAGUGGGGAAUAUUGCACAAUGGGCGAAAGCCUGAUGCAGCGACGCCGCGUGAGGGAUGACGGCCUUCGGGUUGUAAACCUCUUUCAGCAGGGAAGAAGCGAAAGUGACGGUACCUGCAGAAGAAGCACCGGCUAACUACGUGCCAGCAGCCGCGGUAAUACGUAGGGUGCAAGCGUUGUCCGGAAUUAUUGGGCGUAAAGAGCUCGUAGGCGGCCUGUCGCGUCGAUUGUGAAAGCCCAGGGCUUAACCCUGGGUCUGCAGUCGAUACGGGCAGGCUAGAGUUCGGUAGGGGAGAUCGGAAUUCCUGGUGUAGCGGUGAAAUGCGCAGAUAUCAGGAGGAACACCGGUGGCGAAGGCGGAUCUCUGGGCCGAUACUGACGCUGAGGAGCGAAAGCGUGGGGAGCGAACAGGAUUAGAUACCCUGGUAGUCCACGCCGUAAACGGUGG